CAGCAGUAGGGAAUCUUCGGCAAUGGACGGAAGUCUGACCGAGCAACGCCGCGUGAGUGAUGAAGGUUUUCGGAUCGUAAAACUCUGUUGCCAGGGAAGAAAGGCUAGGGGAGUCACUGCCCUUGGAUUGACGGUACCUGAGAAGAAGGCCCCGGCUAACUACGUGCCAGCAGCCGCGGUWAUACGUAGGGGGCAAGCGUUGUCCGGAAUUAUUGGGCGUAAAGCGCGCGCAGGCGGCGAUUUAAGUCUGGUGUAUAAACCAGGGGCUCAACCCUUGGAGGCAUUGGAAACUGGGUGGCUGGAGUGUAGGAGAGGAAAGUGGAAUUCCACGUGUAGCGGUGAAAUGCGUAGAGAUGUGGAGGAACACCAGUGGCGAAGGCGGCUUUCUGGCCUAUAACUGACGCUGAGGCGCGAAAGCGUGGGGAGCAAACAGGAUUAGAUACCCUG
This 447-nucleotide ribosomal RNA is filed under the name uncultured Paenibacillus sp. RNAcentral's name for it is "bacterial SSU rRNA". It matches the Rfam family "Bacterial small subunit ribosomal RNA", at positions 349 to 789 of the family's 1533-position model. Lineage: Bacteria; Bacillati; Bacillota; Bacilli; Caryophanales; Paenibacillaceae. The record is from RNAcentral.